RNAcentral lists this ribosomal RNA (469 nucleotides) under uncultured bacterium. RNAcentral describes it as "partial 16S ribosomal RNA". It matches the Rfam family "Bacterial small subunit ribosomal RNA", at positions 29 to 523 of the family's 1533-position model. The record is from RNAcentral.
AACGAACGCUGGCGGCGUGCUUAACACAUGCAAGUCGAACGGACUCUUCGGAGUUAGUGGCGGACGGGUGAGUAAUACAUAGAUAAUCUGCCUUCAAGUGGGGGAUAACUAUGCGAAGGUUUAGCUAAUACCGCAUAAUGUAGUUAGUUGAAAUACUAAUUAAGAAAGGAUUUAUUCGCUUUUAGAGGGGUCUAUGGUUGAUUAGCUAGUUGGUGAGGUAAUGGCUCACCAAGGCGACGAUCAAUAGCUGGUCUGAGAGGACGAUCAGCCACACUGGGGCUGAGACACGGCCCAGACUUCUACGGAAGGCAGCAGUGGGGAAUUUUCCGCAAUGGGCGAAAGCCUGACGGAGCGACGCCGCGUGGAGGAUGAAGUUUUUAGGAAUGUAAACUCCUUUCAGCAGGGACGAAAACAAUGACGGUACCUGCAGAAGAAGCAUCGGCUAACUACGUGCCAGCAGCCGCCGUAA